This 170-nucleotide ribosomal RNA is filed under the name uncultured bacterium. RNAcentral describes it as "partial 16S ribosomal RNA". The record is from RNAcentral.
GGGCGACGCCUGAACCAGCCAUGCCCGCGAUGUGUGAAGAUGGUUUUCCGGAUCUGAAAGCACUUUUCAGUCCGGGAGGAAGGGCAUUAAACCUAAUCCGUUAGUGGUUUUCGACGUUACCGACAGAAAAAGCACCGGCUAAACUCCGUGCCAGCGUCCGCGGUAAACGA